UCCCAGUGUAACCUUGUCCCUGUCUGGAUACAGUAGUACAGUACCUUUAGAUAUGACCUAUAUAUCACAACAUCCCAGUGUAACCUUGUCCCUGUCUGGAUACAGUAGUACAGUACCUUUAGAUAUGACCUAUAUAUCACAACAUCCCAGUGUGACCUUGUCCCUGUCUGGAUACAGUAGUACAGUACCUUUAGAUAUGACCUAUAUAUCACAACAUCCCAGUGUAACCUUGUCCCUGUCUGGAUACAGUAGUACAGUACCUUUAGAUAUGACCUAUAUACCACAACAUCCCAGUGUAACCUUGUCCCUGCCUGGAUACAGUAGUACAGUACCUUUAGAUAUGACCUAUAUAUCCGUCUGCUUCCCAAAUAACACCUUAUUCCCUUUAUAGUGCACAACUUUACAUCAGAGACCUAUGAGCCAAUUGGGAAGCGGCCUGUGUGUUCUGUCUCACCUGAGGUGUGUGUUUGUUCUGUCUCACCUGAGGUGUGUGUGUGUGUUCUGUCUCACCUGAGGUGUGUGUGUGUGUUCUGUCUCACCUGAGGUGUGUGUGUGUGUUCUGUCUCACCUGAGGUGUGUGUGUGUUCUGUCUCACCUGAGGUGUGUGUGUGUGUGUGUGUUCUGUCUCACCUGAGGUGUGUGUUUGUUCUGUCUCACCUGAGGUGUGUGUGUGUGUUCUGUCUCUCCUGAGGUGUGUGUGUGUUCUGUCUCACCUGAGGUGUGUGUUUGUUCUGUCUCACCUGAGGUGUGUGUGUGUGUGUUCUGUCUCUCCUGAGGUGUGUGUGUUCUGUCUCACCUGAGGUGUGUGUGUGUGUUCUGUCUCACCUGAGGGGUGUGUGUGUGUGUUCUGUCUCACCUGAGGGGUGUGUGUGUGUUCUGUCUCUCCUGAGGGGUGUGUGUGUGUUCUGUCUCACCUGAGGGGUGUGUGUGUGUUCUGUCUCACCUGAGGUGUUUGUGUUCUCUCACCUGAGGGGGGUGGUGUUCUGUCCUUUCUGUCACACCUACCUGUCUGCCACGAUCCAUUGUAGACACCUGAACAUUCGUCUCUAUGCCGGGUGUCUUUCAGAAGUCCUCUGGCUACCUUUACACAGGCAGCCCAGUUCUGAUCUUUUGCCACCUAAUUGAUAUUUUGCCAAUUAUUGGGUAAAAGAUAAGAACUGGACUGCCAGCGUAAAAGGACAUAACGUAAUGCCCUACCGCAGUAUGACGUGGAGAAAAGUCUACACAUCAUUGCCUUGCCAUUCCACCAAAAUACAUGGAAUGCCCAUCGGAGGGACUACGGUCUGGGAUGGUUAUAGAAGGUCUGGGAUGGUUAUAGAAGGUCUACAGGGAUCUAUAUGUGAUCCGAUAGGGUCUAAGUGGAUAUAAGGUCUACAGGGAUCUAUAUGUGAUCCGAUAGGGUCUAAGUGGAUAUAAGGUCUGGGAUGGUUAUAGAAGGUCUACAGGGAUCUAUCUAUAUGUGAUCCGAUAGGGUCUCAGUAGAUAUAAGGUCUGGGAUGGUUAUAGAAGAUCUACAGGAAUCUAUAUGUGAUCCGAUAGGGUCUCAGUAGAUAUAAGGUCUGGGAUGGUUAUAGAAGAUCUACAGGAAUCUAUAUGUGAUCCGAUAGGGUCUCAGUAGAUAUAAGGUCUGGGAUGGUUAUAGAAGAUCUACAGGAAUCUAUAUGUGAUCCGAUAGGGUCUCAGUGGAUAUAAGGUCUGCAUGACACUAUACACUUGGGACACUUAUUAACAUGUUUCCAUAUAAUCAUAUUGGUGUGUGUUAUUGUGUAAGUGUGUGUGGUGUGUGUGUCUUAGUGUGUAAGAGGUGCCCCGGUUUAGGCUAUACUGCUGUGCUAGCCAAGGGAUUUUUAGGUUGUAUAAGCAAUAUUAAAUAUGGACUGUUGUUUUUUUUGGUGUGUAUUUUUGGAAGUGGCAGGGAGGAGGGAACGGAGAGGCGUAUUGCUUCUUAUUUCUCCCAUAUAUACACAUAUUGAUGAUGUAACAGCAGUAAAUUAUUUAUCCUAAAGCGAUUGACUACUGUGUUUUUUUGGGGGGGGAAGAAAGGAGAGAGGGGGUGUGAUGUAUGAGAGACAAAGAUAUCAUUAGUUUUUAUGUGAUUCCUUUUUUUAACAUUUUUAAUUCAGUUUAAUUUCAGAUAGUUUUCGGACCUGUUUUGCUCAUUUUUAUUAACA
Molecule: long non-coding RNA, 2171 nt
Organism: Oncorhynchus tshawytscha (Chinook salmon)
Lineage: Eukaryota; Metazoa; Chordata; Actinopteri; Salmoniformes; Salmonidae
Source: Ensembl